RNAcentral lists this ribosomal RNA (463 nucleotides) under uncultured Klebsiella sp. RNAcentral describes it as "bacterial SSU rRNA". It matches the Rfam family "Bacterial small subunit ribosomal RNA", at positions 338 to 795 of the family's 1533-position model. The record is from RNAcentral. Lineage: Bacteria; Pseudomonadati; Pseudomonadota; Gammaproteobacteria; Enterobacterales; Enterobacteriaceae.
CCUACGGGGGGCUGCAGUGGGGAAUAUUGCACAAUGGGCGCAAGCCUGAUGCAGCCAUGCCGCGUGUGUGAAGAAGGCCUUCGGGUUGUAAAGCACUUUCAGCGGGGAGGAAGGCGUUAAAGUUAAUAACCUUGUCGAUUGACGUUACCCGCAGAAGAAGCACCGGCUAACUCCGUGCCAGCAGCCGCGGUAAUACGGAGGGUGCAAGCGUUAAUUGGAAUUACUGGGCGUAAAGCGCACGCAGGCGGUCUGCCAAGUCGGAUGUGAAAUCCCCGGGCUCAACCUGGGAACUGCAUUCGAAACUGGCAGGCUAGAGUCUUGUAGAGGGGUAGAAUUCCAGGUGUAGCGGUGAAAUGCGUAGAGAUCUGGAGGAAUACCGGUGGCGAAGGCGGCCCCCUGGACAAAGACUGACGCUCAGGUGCGAAAGCGUGGGGAGCAAACAGGAUUAGAUACCCGGGUAGUC